RNAcentral lists this ribosomal RNA (253 nucleotides) under uncultured bacterium. RNAcentral's name for it is "partial 16S ribosomal RNA". It matches the Rfam family "Bacterial small subunit ribosomal RNA", at positions 524 to 776 of the family's 1533-position model. The record is from RNAcentral.
UACGGGGGGGGCAAGCGUUGUUCGGAAUUACUGGGCGUAAAGGGCUCGUAGGCGGCCAACUAAGUCGGAUGUGAAAUCCCCAGGCUUAACUUGGGAACUGCGUCUGAUACUGGAUGGCUUGAGUUUGGGAGAGGGAUGCGGAAUUCCAGGUGUAGCGGUGAAAUGCGUAGAUAUCUGGAGGAACACCGGUGGCGAAGGCGGCAUCCUGGACCAACACUGACGCUGAGGAGCGAAAGCCAGGGGAGCAAACGGG